UGGAGGCAGGGCGUCCAAGUCUUAUGCCCUCUCUUGAGCAGCUUUUGUGAUCCUGCUAGGGGUUCCACUCCACAGCACGAGAACCACAGUCCUACCCAGAGAGCUCUAGGAUCUAACUGUGGACAUUAUUUCUCCAUCAACAGAAAAUGGAAGUGUCUCUCUCACAGAAGGACAGGAGAACAUUUGAGAGUGUCAGAUCCAAUUAGAAAUCAUGAUUGGAUACACAGGUUCUCCAGGAGAGUAAGGAAGACUGCCUUCUCCAAGACAAACUGAGUAACAUAUUUCCUUCUUGCAAUCUUCUGAGACAAGUGUCCUGUUCUUCACCAAAAUCAAUACCACCAUUGAAUAUCAGCAGAUGAUACAUUAAAAUAAGAGGAGAGAGCAGCUGCAGAAGGGCAAUGUUUCCUUCAGACUCAGUACUUGAAGACAUAUGCCCACAGAACAACAACUGCAUUUGGAAAUGAACACUAGCAGAGCAGUAACUUCAGAGGUUCCAGUAUUCUCGUAUUGAAUUAUUAUUCUGAAUCUGAAGUGCUGGAAGAUGUAGAUUUUCUAAUAUAACUGAGCUAUGCUCAAAGACAGUCAGAGUGGAGUACUUCUCUUCUCUGCUGUUACGCUUUCUUCAGCACCAAACAAGCAACUCAGGACGAUUUCCAUGUCACCAAAGCUGGAUUUAGUGGCAUGGGAAAAAGCUGAUAUGGGAGCAAUCACUUCCUUCUGGACCUACCAAAUCCCAUGAUUUCUUCAACAGAACAUCACCAUUAGAUAUUCUAUUUUAUUGAUUCACAGUGAUAUGUGUGUUUAUCUUAAAAAAAAUAUU
Long non-coding RNA from Sceloporus undulatus (fence lizard), 820 nucleotides. RefSeq lists it as uncharacterized. The record is from RefSeq and is a predicted model, not a curated record. The transcript has 4 exons. NCBI's taxonomy places the organism in Eukaryota, Metazoa, Chordata, Lepidosauria, Squamata, Phrynosomatidae.